CAGCUGAGAGCAGCAAACUGCAGUCUGGGAAUAACAUUCCUGCUUCCACAGGAGCUAAAGGCUGGGGGACCCUAAGCUCUGGUCUUCUGCUGCUGUUCCUUCCUCCUUUGCCUCCUGGCUGCACCCUGCCAGCAGCCCAGCAGCCAAAGAUCUUCACCCUUGCUAUGGAUGAUGUCUGGUUCAGUCAAUGAUGUGCCUUGCAUGAACUUUGAAGCCAACGUAUUUGCAAAGAGCCUGUGCCAGCACUGUUUCCGAGCUGCAGGGGCUCACCAGCACGCUGUCCAGGAGCAUGGUGUGGAAGUGGCAGGACACGAUGCCAGCAGCAACGCGGACCCAGGCGGGCCCUGGGACGCUCUCCAUAUCUUAGCCCCGCAGUGCGAGGUAUAUGUGUGCGUGAGCCCCGUGGAGGGGACGGAGGGCUGGCACGAGAGCUGGGGAUAUCCCCCGCUCAGCCCCGGAGCUGAGGGCGAGCACAGAGAAACCAGCACUGACCCCAGCGCCUGCACCCAAGCCAACUCCUCGCUUGCCAGGGACGGGGAAAUGACCUGGUUGUGGGACAACACUAUGGGAUCAGGCAAACGGGACAUGAUGAGCUACGUGGGCCAUAAGGAGGAGGUGCGAUCGCGAGCCCUGCAGGCAGACAGACCCAGGUGGGCUCAGCCCAUUCCCUCCGGAUCCUGGGUGAGAAUCGAGGCGCAGGACUUUAGGAAAGAAAUCUGCCCUCUGAAAGCAGAGUGCCGUCCCACCAGCCAGAAGCCCGAGGAGAGCUGGCUGAAGCACCGGAAAGCCGACCCUCCGUGGCCAUCCACCCCUCCACGUGCUACCACCGGCUCCUCCCGCGGUGACCCGUUGGGUGGCAGCGGGCACCUUGCUGGCUCCCAGGUGCGGGAGCCCUGCAGGCAGCCCGGUGGCAGGGGCACGGAGGGGCGGCACGGGCUGGACAGGCAGGAGUACACGGUGCUGGCCAACCUGCCCAAGCGCCUCAGCCAGCGGGAUGCUGUCGACCGCUGUGGCUCCCACAUGCUCAGCCCCGGCCGGGUGGAGGUGGAGAGGAUGUUUGGCUGCGAACGCAGGAAAUCAGAGACCCUGGAGGCUUUCCAGGCCCUGGAGGAGGGCCGUGUGGACCGGCUCGAUGGCAAGACCCCUGUGCCACCCAGCAAAGGCCGCCUAGCCCGGAGGCAGUCCAGCCCCAGCCUGCCCAGGGAGGGUCAGCGGCCUUCAUGGCACCUUGAGCAGCGCAGCAGAGACCCCAAGGAGCCCCUGCGCUCCCCCAGCCCAGCUCGGCACCCUGAGAAGGCCAGCAGGAGCCGGGGGGACCGCCCGCACCCUGCCAGCGCCAGCUGGCUGUCGGACAGAGGCAACCGGAGCCCACGCUCCACGAGCCCAGCGCGACGGUCCGUGAGUCCCACAAGCGCUCCACAAGCCCGGCUCCGAGCGCCUGUGAGCCCUCCCUGGUGCUCAGAGAAGAGCUGGAGGAGCCGAGAGGAGCCUGUACAUGCCUCCAGCUCGGAAAGGGGCCGAGCUGCCUGGCUUGGGAGGAGUACAGGGCAAGCACCAGAGAGGAAGAGCCGAGGGGACGCGCUGCACCCCGUGGGCCUUGGGAAAGGCUUGGAUAACAGCAGGCUGAGCCGGGCAGCGCCACCACCGCGGUCCCUCAGUCCCGGGAGACAUACAGAGAGCACAUGGAGAAGCCAAAAGAUCGCCCCUCCGGUGCGGGUAGCGGAGAGGCAACGGGGGAGGUCAGGGGAACUGGUGCAGCUCCGGGCUCCUGGGAAGCCAUCAGAAUGUGGCUGGCAGAGCCUCCGGGAAAGGCUGCCAGCCCCCCACCCUGGGAAGGGCACUGGCAGUGACUCGAAAGGCCAAGGCAAGCCCUUGCGCCCUGUGAGCCCAACACGAGCACUGGAGCAGGACCGGAGGGGUCGGGGGGAUGCCCACCAAACGCAGGCGUGGCAGAAGGACUGGAAGCGCCAAGAGAAGCCUGUGUGCCAUGCGGACUUGAUGCGCCAGCUGGAAAGGGACUGGAAAAGCCCCACUAAAUGUCCCGAUGUGAGACUACGGCCGGAUGACAGCUGGAAAAGGCCUGAAAGCCCAGCACAGCAGCUGGAGGAUGCCUGGAAAGGUCCUGAGCACACCCAAAACACAAACAACCCAGAGAAGCCAUUGGAAAACGACUGGGGGAACAAGAGGCUUCUCAUUUACCAUCCCCAGCUGUGUGGAGGUGCCUUCCCACCACAAAGCAGCACCAGAUCCUCGGGAAGCCUGCAGCCACGUUCAAAUGACAGUGAGAAGCACAAUAAGCCGGAUCUCCUCAAUUUCAAGAAGGGAUGGAUGUCCAUCCUGGACGAGCCAGGAGAGUGGAAGAAACAUUGGUUCGUGCUGACUGACUCGAGCCUGAGGUAUUACCGGGACUCGAACGCGGAGGAGGCUGAUGACCUCGAUGGAGAAAUCGACCUCCGCUCCUGCACAGACGUGACAGAGUUUGCGGUGCAGCGCAACUAUGGCUUCCAGAUACACACAAAGGAUGCCGUCUUCACCCUAUCGGCCAUGACCUCAGGCAUCCGGCGCAACUGGAUCGAGGCCCUGAGGAAGAACGUGCGCCCAGUCAGUGCUCCAGAUGUCACCAAGCUCUCUGACUGCGAUAAGGAAAACUUCCGUAACUGCGUCCCCCAGAAGGGCUCGCUCCAGAUGGAGGAACAGCAGCGACUGGGCUCUAGCUCCGAGGGGAACUCAAAGGGCAGCCCCUGGAAGGCGGAUGGGCAGCGCCAUGCCUUUGACUAUGUGGAGCUGUCCCCCUUGCCGCAGGACCCCGGGAAUCAGGGCUCCCCACAGAGGACGAGAGGGAGCUUGAGGGUCUCUGACCGAGCUCCGAAGCACGAGGAGCUGGAGCGGGAUCUGGCUGUCCGUUCGGAGGAGAGGCGGAAAUGGUUUGAGGCCCCUGAUGUCAGGAUCCCAAACAGCGAUGGGUCAGGGGGAGACUCUUCCUGCAAGGUGGGGGAGCUGGACCUCCCCACUCCCCCACUUUCGGAGGACCAGCGAAUCCGGCUGAACGAGGAGAUAGAGAAGAAGUGGCUGGAGCUGGAACGCCUGCCCUUGAAGGACUCACGGCGGGUGCCCUUGACAGCACUGCUGAACCAGGGCAAGGGGAGCCAUGGAGACACCAACGAGGCACUGAAAAAGGAGAUCCAGUCACUGCGAGCGCAGCUGGAAUCCUGCCGGGCCCGGAAUGAGAGCCUUCGGGAGGCAGCGAAAUCCCAGGGAGAAGGCCAUGUGCCCCGGGGGUACAUCUCACAGGAGGCCUGUGAGCGCAGCCUGGCUGCAAUGGAGUCAUCCCACCAGCAAGUGAUGGAGGAGCUCCAGCGGCACCACCAGCGGGAGCUGGAGCGGCUGCGGCAGGAGAAGGAGCGGCUGCUGGCAGAGGAGGCAGCAGCAACAGCAGCAGCCAUUGAGGCACUGAAGAAAGCCCACCGGGAGGAGAUGAACAAGGAGCUGUGCAGGACGCGAAGCUUCCAGCAGUGCAGCUCCGUCUCAGAUGCCCUCCAGAAGCAGCACCAGUUGGAUGUGGAAUCCCUGAAGCGGGAGCUGCAGGUGCUCUCUGAGCAGUAUUCCCAAAAGUGCCUGGAAAUCGGGGAGCUCACGCAGAAGGCAGAGGAACGGGAGCAGACGCUGCAGCACUGUCAGCAGGAGGGGAAGGCGCUCCUCCGGAAAAACCAGGAGCUGCAGACCCGGCUCUCAGAUGAGAUCGGGAAGCUGCGAAGCUUCAUUUCCUCGCGGAACUCUGGGGACCGCUCUCCGAACAACAACGAGCGGAGCUCCUGCGAGCUGGAGGUGCUGCUGCGGGUGAAGGAGAAUGAGCUCCAGUACCUAAAGAAGGAGGUGCAGUGCCUCCGGGAGGAGCUGCAGAUGAUGCAAAAGGAUAAGCGAUUUGCCUCAGGGAAAUACCAAGACGUCUAUGCAGAGCUGAAUCACAUCAAGGUGCGCUCAGAGCGAGAGAUCGAGCAGCUGAAGGAGCACUUGCGCCUGGCCAUGGCGGCUCUGCAGGAGAAGGAGUCGCUGCGCAACAGUGUCGGCGAGUAACGGCAUCUCUGCUGCAUGAAUGAAGGGAUGAAGGGAAACAGGGUGACAGAAUGAGGACAUCCUGUUGUCCACAGUGCUUCUUGCUCCAGUGCUGUGGCUAUCAGGAUUUGGGUCACCCAGCUCUGUUUGCUGGUCUGCUCUUCAUUUGUUUAUCUGUUCUUGUUUUGUAUUUGCUCCAUUCCUCACUUGCAGGGAGGGGGAGGUUGAAUCCCAUCCGUUAUCACUUUGGCGAGGAAUCCUACACACCCCCAACCUCCUCACUCCCCUCCCAAAGCUUUUGUGAUGAACCCCUUUUGCCUGCGUACCUGAGCACGUUGUUUGGACUGGCUCCUUACAUGCACCUUCUUCAGGAUUUUAUAUGUGAAAGUUAUAUUUUAUAGAGGAUUUUUCCUCCCGGGAAGAAGGGGAAGAGGAGGGGGGAAAACUUUUACUACAUCACCAGCAUUUUCUAACCUGAAAAAGAGAAUCUGGUUGUCACCCCUUCCCCAGCCCUACACAGCCACCUUUGGCACAUGCUCCCUCUCUUCCGAAUGUCUCCACGGCCCCCAGGGGAUGCAUGGCGAGGACCACACUCCCCCCCUGUGCCACCCCAGGGACCUUUGGAGAAGACCUGCAAGCCAUAGGAGGGAGCCUCUGGGGCAGUCUGCCGUGGAUGUGCUUGCCGGGGACGUUGGAAAGAGGAGACCUUGGCAAGAGUCCGAAUGAUCGAGCUCUCUCCGUGACUGUCACUGGCUCCUUCGAGGACACAAGCUGGCUGGAGCCCGGAGACACGGGGCUUCUCCUCUGUGGGGAAGAGGAGCUGUGAGGCUGGUACUGCACCCACCAGAGCCAACCCCCCGUCAAGGUGGCAGUUGCUGCUGCUCUGCUGCGCCCUUCAACUUUUAACUUAAUAAAAUCUUCCCCUUUCGCUGAGAAGAA
This is an RNA transcript of Neopsephotus bourkii (Bourke's parrot), 4992 nucleotides long. It is a transcript of the gene named TRIO and F-actin binding protein, with no coding region annotated. The record is from RefSeq and is a predicted model, not a curated record. The transcript has 22 exons. Lineage: Eukaryota; Metazoa; Chordata; Aves; Psittaciformes; Psittacidae.